This 119-nucleotide ribosomal RNA is filed under the name Aotus nancymaae (Ma's night monkey). The record is from RNAcentral. Lineage: Eukaryota; Metazoa; Chordata; Mammalia; Primates; Aotidae.
GUCUAUGGCCAUACCACCCUGAAUGUACCCUAUCUCAUCUGAUCUCAGAAGCUAAGCAGGGUCAGGCCUGGUUAGUACUUGGAUGGGAGACCGCCUGGGAAUACUGGGUGCUGUAGGCU